CUUUUUCUCUACCUUCCCCUUUCCUCCACCAGGCUGAUGCUUGAUGUUAUCCGUGGAGCCGAUUUUGGAACGUACAUUUUUCAGGUCGGGAGCAGCAGCACUGCUGGUCGGGCGCAGCGGCUUGGGGGCAGCGCUGGGUUUGGUUGCAGCCUUUGCAGGUGGUUUCUUUGCAUCCGCAGCGGUGGUGGAGGUGGUGGUGGUGGGUUUGGUUGCUGCAGGUUUGGGUUUGGGGCGGCUGGUGGCUGCGCUGGGCACGGCUGUGGUGCUGGUGGUGGUGGUGGUGGUGGUGGAAGUGGUGGCACUGCUCUUCACAGUGCUUCCAGCAGCGCUCUUAGGGCGGGCCAGGUCUGAUGGUGACUUCGCAGUGGUCUUCUUGGCAUCUGCAGGCUUUGCAUCAG
Molecule: long non-coding RNA, 398 nt
Filed under: Gallus gallus (chicken)
Lineage: Eukaryota; Metazoa; Chordata; Aves; Galliformes; Phasianidae
Source: RNAcentral